RNAcentral lists this ribosomal RNA (497 nucleotides) under uncultured bacterium. RNAcentral describes it as "partial 16S ribosomal RNA". It matches the Rfam family "Bacterial small subunit ribosomal RNA", at positions 28 to 507 of the family's 1533-position model. The record is from RNAcentral.
GAUGAACGCUGGCGGCGUGCCUAAUACAUGCAAGUCGAGCGAACAGACGAGGAGCUUGCUCCUCUGACGUUAGCGGCGGACGGGUGAGUAACACGUGGAUAACCUACCUAUAAGACUGGGAUAACUUCGGGAAACCGGAGCUAAUACCGGAUAAUAUAUUGAACCGCAUGGUUCAAUAGUGAAAGACGGUUUUGCUGUCACUUAUAGAUGGAUCCGCGCCGCCUUAGCUAGUUGGUAAGGUAACGGCUUACCAAGGCAACGAUGCGUAGCCGACCUGAGAGGGUGAUCAGGCAAAAGGGAACUGAGAAACGGUACAGACGCCAAAGGGAGGCAGCAGUAGGGAAUAUUCGACAAGGGGCGAAAGACUGAACGAGCAAUAAAGCGUGAGUGAAGAAGGGAUUAGGAUCGUAAAACCCUGUUGUUGGGAAAGAAAAACAGAAGGAUAAGAAAUGGAUGGCUUGACGGUACCAAAUGAAAAAGCAACGGAUAACUUCGUG